AGCUUGCUCUUUUCAGAAUUGAGUGGCAAACGGGUGAGUAACACGUAAACAACCUGCCUUCAGGAUGGGGACAACAGACGGAAACGACUGCUAAUACCGCAUGAUGUUACCGGAGGGCAUCCUUUGGUAACCAAAGAUUUAUCGCUCUGAGAUGGGCUCAUGUCUGAUUAGAUAGUUGGCGGGGUAACGGCCCACCAAGUCUGCGAUCAGUAGCCGGACUGAGAGGUUGAACGGCCACAUUGGGACUGAGACACGGUCCAGACUCC
Molecule: ribosomal RNA, 266 nt
Filed under: uncultured Eubacteriales bacterium
Lineage: Bacteria; Bacillati; Bacillota; Clostridia; Eubacteriales
Description: uncultured Clostridiales bacterium partial 16S ribosomal RNA
Rfam family: Bacterial small subunit ribosomal RNA
Source: RNAcentral